AUUGAACGCUGGCGGCAGGCCUAACACAUGCAAGUCGAACGAGUGGCGGACGGGUGAGUGAUGUCUGGGAAACUGCGUGAUGUAGGGGGAUAACUCCUGGAAACGGUAGCUAAUACCGCAUACCAUCAGAUGUGCCCAGAUGGGAUUAGCUUGUGGGUGGGGUAACGGCUCACCAAGGCGACGAGCCCUAGCUGGUCUGAGAGGAUGAGCAGCCACACUGGAACUGAGACACGGUCCAGACUCCUACGGGAGGCAGCAGUGGGGAAUAUUGCACAAUGGGCGCAAGCCUGAUGCAGCCAUGCCGCGUGUAUGAAGAAGGCCUUCGGGUUGUAAAGUACUUUCAGCGAGGAGGCGUUACCCGCAGAAGAAGCACCGGCUAACUCCGUGCCAGCCGCCGCGGUAAUAC
RNAcentral lists this ribosomal RNA (406 nucleotides) under uncultured bacterium. Its description in RNAcentral is "partial 16S ribosomal RNA". It matches the Rfam family "Bacterial small subunit ribosomal RNA", at positions 30 to 526 of the family's 1533-position model. The record is from RNAcentral.